This 265-nucleotide non-coding RNA is filed under the name Oscillibacter sp. RNAcentral's name for it is "T-box sequence". It matches the Rfam family "T-box leader". From Rfam's summary of the family: Uncharged tRNA acts as the effector for transcription antitermination of genes in the T-box leader family. T-boxes are found upstream of many aminoacyl-tRNA synthetase genes and some amino acid biosynthetic genes usually in Gram-positive bacteria. The record is from RNAcentral. Lineage: Bacteria; Bacillati; Bacillota; Clostridia; Eubacteriales; Oscillospiraceae.
CAAAAUGCGAUGAAGGGGAAAAGGCGAUCCCACGCCCCGUUUCAGAGAGCCGCCGGUCGGUGCAAGGCGGUACGGAGGGGACCGCGUCACUGGCCCUUGAGCAGCCGCGCUGAGAGGCGUCGCCUUUAGGUGCGGACGGCCGCUGUCCGUUAUCAUGCAGACGCGAUUCGCCCCCCUCAGGAGGAGCCGAUCGUACAGAGUGGCCGGGUCUCCCGGCAAUGAGAGUGGUACCGCGGGUACAGCAUUUUUUGCUCCCGUCUCUCAA